This 216-nucleotide ribosomal RNA is filed under the name uncultured bacterium. Its description in RNAcentral is "partial 16S ribosomal RNA". It matches the Rfam family "Bacterial small subunit ribosomal RNA", at positions 146 to 353 of the family's 1533-position model. The record is from RNAcentral.
ACUAUUGGAAACGAUAGCUAAGACCGCAUAGGUACGGACACUGCAUGGUGACCGUAUUAAAAGUGCCUCAAAGCACUGGUAGAGGAUGGACUUAUGGCGCAUUAGCUGGUUGGCGGGGUAACGGCCCACCAAGGCGACGAUGCGUAGCCGACCUGAGAGGGUGACCGGCCACACUGGGACUGAGACACGGCCCAGACUCCUACGGGAGGCAGCAUG